ACUGACAGAGGGAAAGGCCCUGUUCUCCUUGAAGCACCGUGAGAACCGAGGGAAAGGAAGGCUGUUGUUGGAUCGGGGCUUUGGCAGCAGGGGCAAAACCAGCCUUGCUCUGAUACCAAGUUGAUGCCGCACCAGUGCGGGGAAAGAGGAGAAGAAGGAAGAACAAGAGAAAGAGAAGGAAGAAGAGGUUGUAGAGACGCAGGAAGAAUAGAGGAGGAGAGGAGAAAAAGAGAAGAAAGAACGUAGGGGGAAAGAAAUUCCAAAUCACUUCAUUAAACUCUAAUCAUGAAAAUAGU
Molecule: long non-coding RNA, 296 nt
Filed under: Phoenix dactylifera (date palm)
Lineage: Eukaryota; Viridiplantae; Streptophyta; Magnoliopsida; Arecales; Arecaceae
Description: long non-coding RNA (PDAC_LNC001661)
Source: RNAcentral